UCUUGGAGUCUCUUCUCUCCAGCGACAUUGAGUUUGCAGCCAAACUUCAAACAUGAAGAUUCUCUACCUUCUCUUCUCUAUCUUCUUCUUGGUCCUGCAAAGCUCUCCAGGAUUCACCCAGCGUAUUACUAACUCCCAGGCAUGUAAUCGUGCUGAGGGCUUCUGCAGCCGUAGCUGUCCCUCCUCCUUCUCAGUGAUUGGAAGCUGUGGUUUUUCACUGAUUUGCUGUAAGUGGAGAAGGUACCCAGAGUGAGUGACGUCAGCAAAGAAUGUCAAUGCAGGAUCGCAGAGAAUGUGGCAGAUGACAUCUUGCUUCUAAAAUCCUUGGAUGCUUUUCAUCUGAGCUGCAAAGUUUCUCGCAAGCUGAAAAAAAUCCACAAGGGAGCCCUUGUGUCCACCCUUAUAGCUUAUUCUUCUCCCUUUAAUAAAAGUAGCUGGUUGUU
Molecule: long non-coding RNA, 443 nt
Organism: Trachemys scripta elegans
Lineage: Eukaryota; Metazoa; Chordata; Testudines; Emydidae
Exons: 3
Source: RefSeq, a predicted model, not a curated record